Lolium rigidum is the source of this 560-nucleotide long non-coding RNA. RefSeq lists it as uncharacterized. The transcript is spliced from 3 exons. The record is from RefSeq and is a predicted model, not a curated record. Lineage: Eukaryota; Viridiplantae; Streptophyta; Magnoliopsida; Poales; Poaceae.
UGGCCUCGGCCUCGCCAUUUUGUCAGAGUCAACACAGAGCAUCCAGUUAUGGGCGAGGAGGUCCAACUAUGAUGGUGUUAUUUCAUGGGAGCUACGGAAAACCGUUCAACAUGAUGAGCUCUUUUCACAAUCUGCAUGCUUGGAAGAACUGUUCCUGAUGCCAGGGUAUGAUGAGGACACAAAUGUGAUUUUUCUGUCUUCAGAUUCUCGUGACUACAUCCUCCAGCUUGAGUCCAUGCAGUUCAAGUAUAUUGGUAGAAGAGAAUACAGGACUUCCAGAAUAGAUUAUCCCUAUACAAAUUUCUGUACUGCAGGUAGGUGGAUUGCUGGUGGAGAUGGAGCUGAAAAUGCUACCUAAGUUAUAUUCUGUUUUGGUGAGAUGCAGAAAUGGCUCUUUGUUGCAGUUCUGUUCUUCCGCUUUCAUAUGAUGUGGCUACUGACGUGGUGUCGAUGCUGACAGCCUGACAUUGUCCUGAUAUGUAGCUUUUUGUUGGCCCUUGCAAUGUGUAUGCCAUGGCCUAUGAAAUGGACUUGCAGGAUUUAAUAGUGUAACUCGCUCA